Long non-coding RNA from Prionailurus viverrinus (fishing cat), 311 nucleotides. RefSeq lists it as uncharacterized. The transcript has 3 exons. The record is from RefSeq and is a predicted model, not a curated record. Lineage: Eukaryota; Metazoa; Chordata; Mammalia; Carnivora; Felidae.
CUGAUGUUCCUCACUGUAAUUCUUUGCUUUGAAACCAAUCUGCAAUUCUCCUGACACCAGUUUUCAAUUUAUGAUCCCAGCACACUAGGCUCUGGAACACUCCCAUGAACUUUGAAGCACAGGAUACACAGAUAAUAAAAAUUUCUUGAUAUGGCCUGACACAAACAAAUGGUAAAGGCAAAGAAACUUGAUGAAGAUAAGAAUGGGGACAUGGUGGCCACGGUAAAGAACUACAGCUUUGGACUCAGGUGUUAUAAUUACCUGUCUAGGGAAGAAAGCAAAAGCCACAAAAUGACUAGAGACAGGAGGUA